Molecule: ribosomal RNA, 428 nt
Filed under: uncultured bacterium
Lineage: Bacteria
Description: partial 16S ribosomal RNA
Rfam family: Bacterial small subunit ribosomal RNA
Source: RNAcentral
GUAGGGAAUAUUGCGCAAUGGGGGAAACCCUGACGCAGCGACGCCGCGUGAGUGAUGAAGGCCUUCGGGUCGUAAAGCUCUGUUGCAGGGGAAUAAAAAAAUGAAGGUACCCUGUGAGGAAGGAUCGGCUAACUUCGUGCCAGCAGCCGCGGUAAGACGAGGGAUCCUAGCGGUGCUCGGAAUCAUUGGGCGUAAAGAGGGCGUAGGUGGCUUGGUCAGUCAGGUGUGAACGCCCAGGGCUCAACCCUGGAAGUGCAUUUGAUAGUGCUGAGCUUGAGUGUCGGAGAGGUUACCGGAAUACCUGGUGUAGUGGUGAAAUACGUAGAUAUCAGGUGGAACACCGGAGGCGAAGGCGGGUAACUGGACGAACACUGACACUGAGGCCCGAAAGCGUGGGGAUCAAACAGGAUUAGAAACCCGGGUAGUCC